This 660-nucleotide ribosomal RNA is filed under the name uncultured bacterium. RNAcentral describes it as "bacterial SSU rRNA". It matches the Rfam family "Bacterial small subunit ribosomal RNA", at positions 75 to 733 of the family's 1533-position model. The record is from RNAcentral.
GGAGCUUGCUCCAUUGUUAGUGGGGAACGGGUGAGUAACAUGUCGGAACAUGUCGGGAAGUGGGGGAUAACGUAACAAAAGUUACGCUAAUACCGCAUAUGCCCUGAGGGGGAAAGGGGGGGAUCGCGAGACCUCUCGCUUUCGGAGUGGCCGAUAUCGGAUUAUCUAGUAGGUGAGGUAAAGGCUCACCUAGGCGACGAUCCGUAGCUGGUCUGAGAGGACGACCAUCCACACUGGAACUGAGACACGGUCCAGACUCCUACGGGAGGCAGCAGUGGGGAAUUUUGGACAAUGGGCGCAAGCCUGAUCCAGCCAUACCGCGUGAGUGAAGAAGGCCUUCGGGUUGUAAAGCUCUUUCAGCCGGAAAGAAAUCGCACUUCUUAAUACGAAAUGUGGAUGACGGUACCGGAAGAAGAAGCACCGGCUAACUACGUGCCAGCGGCCGCGGUAAUACGUAUGGUGCGAGCGUUAAUCUGAAUUACUGGGCGUAAAAGCGUGCGAGGCGGCUUUUUAGCCAGAUGUGAAAUCCCCGGGCUUAAUCUGGGAAACUGCAUUUGGAACUGGAAAGCUAGAGUGUAGCAGAAGGGGGUAGAAUUCCACGUGUACCAGUGAAAUGCGUAGAUAUGUGGAGGAAUAACGAUGGCGAAGGCGCCCCCUUGG